Molecule: ribosomal RNA, 536 nt
Filed under: uncultured Acidobacteriota bacterium
Lineage: Bacteria; Pseudomonadati; Acidobacteriota
Description: bacterial SSU rRNA
Rfam family: Bacterial small subunit ribosomal RNA
Source: RNAcentral
AGAGUUUGAUCAUGGCUCAGAAUCAACGCUGGCGGCGUGCCUAACACAUGCAAGUCGAACGCGAAAGUGGAGCAAUCCAUGAGUAGAGUGGCAAACGGGUGAGUAACACGUGGGUGACCUGCCUUCGAGCGGGGGAUAACGUCCCGAAAGGGACGCUAAUAUCGCAUGACAUCCUGUCUUUUAACAGAUGGAGAUCAAAGCCGGGGAUCGCAAGACCUGGCACUCGAAGAGGGGCCCGCGCCUGAUUAGCUAGUUGGUGAGGUAAUGGCUCACCAAGGCGACGAUCAGUAUCCGGCCUGAGAGGGCGGACGGACACACUGGGACUGAGACACGGCCCAGACUCCUACGGGAGGCAGCAGUGGGGAAUUGUUCGCAAUGGGCGCAAGCCUGACGACGCAACGCCGCGUGGAGGAUGAAGAUCUUCGGGUCGUAAACUCCUUUCGAUCGAGAUGAAUGGCCUCCGGGUGAACAAUCCGGAGGAAUGACAGUACCGAGAGAAGAAGCCCCGGCUAACUCCGUGCCAGCAGCCCGCGGUA